GUGGGGAAUAUUGGACAAUGGGCGAAAGCCUGAUCCAGCCAUGCCGCGUGUGUGAAGAAGGUCUUCGGAUUGUAAAGCACUUUAAGUUGGGAGGAAGGGCAUUAACCUAAUACGUUAGUGUUUUGACGUUACCGACAGAAUAAGCACCGGCUAACUUCGUGCCAGCAGCCGCGGUAAUACGAAGGGUGCAAGCGUUAAUCGGAAUUACUGGGCGUAAAGCGCGCGUAGGUGGUUCGUUAAGUUGGAUGUGAAAGCCCCGGGCUCAACCUGGGAACUGCAUACAAAACUGGCGAGCUAGAGUACGGUAGAGGGUGGUGGAAUUUCCUGUGUAGCGGUGAAAUGCGUAGAUAUAGGAAGGAACACCAGUGGCGAAGGCGACCACCUGGACUGAUACUGACACUGAGGUGCGAAAGCGUGGGGAGCAAACUGGAUUAGAAACCCGUGUAGUCC
This 450-nucleotide ribosomal RNA is filed under the name uncultured bacterium. Its description in RNAcentral is "partial 16S ribosomal RNA". It matches the Rfam family "Bacterial small subunit ribosomal RNA", at positions 354 to 796 of the family's 1533-position model. The record is from RNAcentral.